GAACGGCUGGCGGCAGGCCUAACACAUGCAAGUCGAGCGGUAGAGAGGUGCUUGCAUCUCUUGAGAGCGGCGGACGGGUGAGUAAUGCCUAGGAAUCUGCCUAGUGGUGGGGGAUAACGUUUGGAAACGGACGCUAAUACCGCAUACGUCCUACGGGAGAAAGCGGGGGAUCUUCGGACCUCGCGCCAUUAGAUGAGCCUAGGUCGGAUUAGCUAGUAGGUGAGGUAAUGGCUCACCUAGGCGACGAUCCGUAACUGGUCUGAGAGGAUGAUCAGUCACACUGGAACUGAGACACGGUCCAGACUCCUACGGGAGGCAGCAGUGGGGAAUAUUGGACAAUGGGCGAAAGCCUGAUCCAGCCAUGCCGCGUGUGUGAAGAAGGUCUUCGGAUUGUAAAGCACUUUAAGUUGGGAGGAAGGGCAGUUACCUAAUACGUAUCUGUUUUGACGUUACCGACAGAAUAAGCACCGGCUAACUCUGUG
RNAcentral lists this ribosomal RNA (482 nucleotides) under uncultured bacterium. Its description in RNAcentral is "bacterial SSU rRNA". It matches the Rfam family "Bacterial small subunit ribosomal RNA", at positions 35 to 507 of the family's 1533-position model. The record is from RNAcentral.